AUUGAACGCUGGCGGCAGGCCUAACACAUGCCAGUCGAGCGGAUGAAGGGAGCUUGCUCCUGGAUUCAGCGGCGGACGGGUGAGUAAUGCCUAGGAAUCUGCCUGGUAGUGGGGGAUAACGUCCGGAAACGGGCGCUAAUACCGCAUACGUCCUGAGGGAGAAAGUGGGGGAUCUUCGGACCUCACGCUAUCAGAUGAGCCUAGGUCGGAUUAGCUAGUUGGUGGGGUAAAGGCCUACCAAGGCGACGAUCCGUAACUGGUCUGAGAGGAUGAUCAGUCACACUGGAACUGAGACACGGUCCAGACUCCUACGGGAGGCAGCAGUGGGGAAUAUUGGCAAAUGGGCGAAAGCCUGAUCCAGCCAUGCCGGGUGUGUGAAGAAGGUCUUCGGAUUGUAAAGCACUUUAAGUUGGGAGGAAGGGCAGUAAGUUAAGACCUUGCUGUUUUGACGUUACCAACAGAAUAAGCACCGGCUAACUUCGU
Molecule: ribosomal RNA, 483 nt
Filed under: uncultured bacterium
Lineage: Bacteria
Description: partial 16S ribosomal RNA
Rfam family: Bacterial small subunit ribosomal RNA
Source: RNAcentral